AUUGAACGCUGGCGGCAGGCCUAACACAUGCAAGUCGAACGGUAACAGGGAUCAGCUUGCUGAUUCGCUGACGAGUGGCGGACGGGUGAGUAAUGUCUGGGAAACUGCCUGAUGGAGGGGGAUAACUACUGGAAACGGUAGCUAAUACCGCAUAACGUCGCAAGACCAAAGAGGGGGACCUUCGGGCCUCUUGCCAUCGGAUGUGCCCAGAUGGGAUUAGCUAGUAGGUGGGGUAACGGCUCACCUAGGCGACGAUCCCUAGCUGGUCUGAGAGGAUGACCAGCCACACUGGAACUGAGACACGGUCCAGACUCCUACGGGAGGCAGCAGUGGGGAAUAUUGCACAAUGGGAGCAAGCCUGAUGCAGCCAUGCCGCGUGUAUGAAGAAGGCCUUCGGGUUGUAAAGUACUUUCAGCGGGGAGGAAGGGAGUAAAGUUAAUACCUUUGCUCAUUGACGUUACCCGCAGAAGAAGCACCGGCUAACUCCGUG
Molecule: ribosomal RNA, 490 nt
Filed under: uncultured bacterium
Lineage: Bacteria
Description: partial 16S ribosomal RNA
Rfam family: Bacterial small subunit ribosomal RNA
Source: RNAcentral